Molecule: long non-coding RNA, 282 nt
Filed under: Phoenix dactylifera (date palm)
Lineage: Eukaryota; Viridiplantae; Streptophyta; Magnoliopsida; Arecales; Arecaceae
Description: long non-coding RNA (PDAC_LNC005276)
Source: RNAcentral
GGGGGGAGAAGUCGAGCGAGAGGAAGAAGUUGAGUGCUCUGUUUUCAGAUUUGAAAACAGAGCAUUACAUUUCUUUUGUUUUUUUAUUAUUUGUUUUAGUUGUUUUUCUUUUAAAUGUUAUAUUUUUAAUUGGUGUUUAAUCGUUCUGUUUUGGGUAUCAUGUUGUUCUUAUUUAUUUAUUUUUAUUUUGAUUGAGAGUAAUGUUUUUAGUAAGAGUUUUAUUUUGAGAGCAUGUUGUCUUGGGGUUUUUAGUUUUAGUUUAAUAGAGAGAUCUAUUUAUGC